Molecule: ribosomal RNA, 405 nt
Filed under: uncultured bacterium
Lineage: Bacteria
Description: partial 16S ribosomal RNA
Rfam family: Bacterial small subunit ribosomal RNA
Source: RNAcentral
GACGAACGCUGGCGGCGUGCUUAACACAUGCAAGUCGAACGAAGUGGCGAACGGGUGAGUAACGCGUGAGUAAUUGCCCCCCUCUCUGGGAUAACCGUUGGAAACGGCUGCUAAUACCGGAUAGUGGGGGAUGACUCGCGUCCUAUCAGCUUGUUGGUUGGGUAAAGGCCUACCAAGGCGACGAUCCGUAACUGGUCUGAGGAGAUGAUCAGUCACACUGGACUGAGACACAGUCCAGACUCCUACGGGAGGCAGCAGUGGGGAAUAUUUCACAAGUGGGGAAACCCUGAUGCAGCAACGCCGAGUGCGGGAUGACGGCCUUCUGGUUGUAAACCGCUUUCAGCCAUGACGCGGUAGUGGCAGAAGAAGCACCGGCUAACUACGUGCCAGCAGCCGCGGUAAUAC